GACGAACCGUACGAACGUUAUUCGGAAUCACUGGGCUUAAAGGGUGCGUAGGCGGCGCAGCAAGUAGGGUGUGAAAUCCCUCGGCUCAACCGAGGAACUGCGCUCUAAACUACUGUGCUCGAGGGAGAUAGAGGUGAGCGGAACUUAGGGUGGAGCGGUGAAAUGCGUUGAUAUCCUAAGGAACACCGGUGGCGAACGCGGCUCACUGGAUCUCUUCUGACGCUGAGGCACGAAAGCUAGGGUAGCAAACGGG
RNAcentral lists this ribosomal RNA (253 nucleotides) under uncultured bacterium. Its description in RNAcentral is "partial 16S ribosomal RNA". It matches the Rfam family "Bacterial small subunit ribosomal RNA", at positions 524 to 776 of the family's 1533-position model. The record is from RNAcentral.